This 73-nucleotide transfer RNA is filed under the name Saccoglossus kowalevskii. RNAcentral describes it as "tRNA-Arg". It matches the Rfam family "tRNA". Rfam says of the family: Transfer RNA (tRNA) molecules are approximately 80 nucleotides in length. Their secondary structure includes four short double-helical elements and three loops (D, anti-codon, and T loops). The record is from RNAcentral. Lineage: Eukaryota; Metazoa; Hemichordata; Enteropneusta; Harrimaniidae.
GCUUCUGUGGCCUAAUGGAUAAGGCGUCGGUCUCCUAAACCGAAAAUUGUGGGUUCGAGUCCCACCAGGGGUA